This is a non-coding RNA of Brachypodium distachyon (stiff brome), 126 nucleotides long. NCBI's taxonomy places the organism in Eukaryota, Viridiplantae, Streptophyta, Magnoliopsida, Poales, Poaceae. The record is from Rfam.
UUAAUACUCCCUCCGUCCCAUAUUAAGUGACUCAAAUUUGUUUAAAAUUGGACGUAUAUGUAUACUAAAAUACGUCUAGAUACAUGUAAUAUUUCGGCACUUAAUAUGUGAUGGAGGGAGUAUUAU